Molecule: ribosomal RNA, 253 nt
Filed under: uncultured bacterium
Lineage: Bacteria
Description: partial 16S ribosomal RNA
Rfam family: Bacterial small subunit ribosomal RNA
Source: RNAcentral
UACGUAGGAGGCAAGCGUUGUCCGGAAUUACUGGGCGUAAAGCGCGUGUAGGUGGGAGGCUAAGUCUGUGGUGAAAGCGCCCGGCUCAACUGGGCAGAGUCCAUGGAAACUGGUCACCUGGAGGACGGUAGAGGCGAGUGGAAUUCCCGGUGUAGUGGUGGAAUGCGCAGAUAUCAGGAGGAACACCGAUGGCGAAGGCAGCUCGCUGGGACGGUACUGACACUGAGGCGCGAAAGCGUGGGGAGCGAACAGG